Long non-coding RNA from Patella vulgata (common limpet), 2496 nucleotides. RefSeq lists it as uncharacterized. The transcript is spliced from 3 exons. The record is from RefSeq and is a predicted model, not a curated record. Lineage: Eukaryota; Metazoa; Mollusca; Gastropoda; Patellidae.
GGGUGGAGACACGUUUUCAAGUUAUCCGCCCUUGAUGCGUUAAUAUAAACAGCACAUAAUAAUACGAAGACCGGACGUUUAUAUGCCCCUUUUUAAACGUGACUACAAGUGUGGUUCUCGAUAUUUUGCGAUUUGGAAUACAAUUAUCAAUUUAUUCAAACAACACGUUAUUAUUAGUUCGAGUAGUCAUAUUAAAACACACACAAUUAUCAAUUUAUUCAAAUAACACUUUAUUAUUGGUUCGAGUAGUCAUAUUAAAAUAAACACAAUUAUCAAUUUAUUAAAAUAACACUUUAUUAUUGGUUCGAGUAAUUAUAUUAAAACAAACGCAAUUAUCAAUUUAUUAAAACAACAUUUUAUUAUUGGUCCGAGUCGUCUUUCUGUUGGGUCCGAAUAGUCUUUUUGUAUGGUCCGAGUAGUCUAUUUGUUUGGGCUGAGUGGUCUAUCACUUGGUCCGACUGGUCUUGAACCGAGUGAUCUUUGGUCCGAGUGGUCAUGGAUUCUUGUCGUAAUUGUACUUGAAUUUCCUAUGCUGUCACCCCUAAUACGAAAUGAUAUCUUCCGCAGAGUGACGUAACCAUCUUCCAUAUUGGUAUUUUUCUCUGGGAAAAGUUUGUGAUAUUUCAAUUUUUCAAGAGAGAAUUUGUUUUCAUCGUUGUGAUAAUUAGUUGUGCAAUGGAUUUUAUCGAACGGGAGUUCAUUACAAACACACAGUUUCAGCCAACCUGAUGGUGUUUCGAGAAAUGGCGUGAAUAGUGCACCCCUGCACCCCCCAAAACUAUCCAGAUGUUUAAGAACUCAGUCUACUUGAUUAAAUCGUUAUAUUGUUUUUGUCUUGUACCGAUGUGAUCAAAUCCUGGGUCGACCCGUGUGUGCGCUGUCAUGCACGCUAAAGUAACUGUUCAUUUGUUAAACGAAGGCCCCUCUGUUUUGAGUUACAGUUUGACACGUAGCUUAUACAUGGUACUGAGACAGAAAACGAUUGAAAUAGAAGGUACACUAUAUUUCAAUGGAGUGUACAAAUAGACAACAAAUAAACGGAGUUUUGUGUAAGUUUGCAAUCCAAUAACAUUAAAGGUAGAUAACAUAAUUUACAUAGUCUUUUGCUUUAGAUUAUAAAACGGAAAAUGGUAUAAAUUGUCCGCUAGAAAAAUCAUUUAAAGAUACAUUAUGGGAGAUUAGAUACAGAGCUGGCAGUUCUAACGAUAAUAGUUCAAAACUAGAUAAGGGAAUUUGCUGAAAAUUUCAGUCAAAUUGAUCCCCUCUGAACCGAGAUUUUAGCGAUUGAAUUUUCGGCCUAACCUCGAUCAUCAUUACUAAUGUCGUACGAUAAAAACCCCAUAGUCUCGAUUAUCCAUUUUUUAUAUUAUUAAAUCAUGAAUGGAAGUCGAACAACAAAUCGGAACCUAAUCCAACGCAGGCUAGCGAUGACAUCGAGAGUUGAUUAUGGUCUGGAUAAGUUAAUUAAUGAAAGACCUGCAAUAGGCAUAAUGUAUUUUUAAGUCCUCAAAUCUUCCGAACAUAUGACCAUAUCUUUAUUAGAUAAGGAUAGUUUUCAAUAUGGUUUGCCGUGGAUGUACUGAAUAAUAGAUAUAUAUUCACGCUGGUAUUGCUGAAUGUUUCAAGGUCACAAGUAUUUGUACAUUAAUAAAUAUAGUAUAUAUGUUAUUGUUGUUUAUUACAGUUUAUGACAACUGGUGAACAUGUUUUCAGAUUGUGGUAAUACAGUUUGAUUUAUAAACAUUUGAUUUUAUUGUUAUUUGUAAGAUGUAUGAUAGUUAAUAUUUGCCAAGGUUGAGUAAUUCACAUGUCUGGUUGCAGGUAUGAUUGCAUUGAAUGCAUGUGAACUGCCUGUUUUGUUGUCGUGGUUUGAUUGGUUGUGAGUGAAACUGUAGUUUACGUGGUGGGAGAUAUGAAUUUAUAUUGUCACUCUAAUAAUGGAUUUUGGGAGAAUCACACGUAUUCAUUGAUCAUAUCAUUCAUGAAUCUUUCGUAAAUAUAUUUCAACUAAAUGGGUGUUAGACUGUGUGUCUCGUUGGGUUUUGACUGUGUGUCGUUAUAAUGGUAAUCUAUGUGAUUAAUGAGUAAGAAUUAGUACAUUUACUUGUCAGUAUUGUUUGAUUUGAUAAUCGUGGAUGUAUAGAAAUAAUUUGAUUAUUUGUUAAACAUUGUGUUAUGUUUUAUAGGUAUUCUGAUUCUGAUAAUGUUAAUGUGCUACGGAUAGUGUUACCUAUAUUGUUACUCUGGUCGUUAUUGUUCCAGUUCGUUAUUUUUAUAGUGAUUAAAAGAUCUACAUGAAUAACUCAUCAACCUUAUCAUCUUAAUCAUCUUAAUGUGUGCGCGUGUGCCACCAAUUCAUCGUCAUCUCAACAUAUAAAUGUGAUUAGUGGUAUUUUGAAUCAGUGAUAUCGAUUACGUGAACUUAUUGGAGAAUAAUUACAUAAAUAUAUAUAUACAUUAUAAUUGUAUUGAUAUAUUGUAGUUAUAUAAAGAUAU